This 514-nucleotide ribosomal RNA is filed under the name uncultured bacterium. Its description in RNAcentral is "partial 16S ribosomal RNA". It matches the Rfam family "Bacterial small subunit ribosomal RNA", at positions 28 to 523 of the family's 1533-position model. The record is from RNAcentral.
GAUGAACGCUGGCGGCGUGCCUAAUACAUGCAAGUCGAGCGAACAGAUGAGAAGCUUGCUUCUCUGAUGUUAGCGGCGGACGGGUGAGUAACACGUGGGUAACCUACCUAUAAGACUGGGAUAACUCCGGGAAACCGGGGCUAAUACCGGAUAAUAUUUUGAACCGCAUGGUUCGAUAGUGAAAGACGGUUUCGGCUGUCACUUAUAGAUGGACCCGCGCCGUAUUAGCUAGUUGGUAAGGUAACGGCUUACCAAGGCGACGAUACGUAGCCGACCUGGGAGGGUGAUCGGGCACACUGAAACUGAGACACGGUCCGGACUCCUACGGGAGGCAGCAGUAGGGAAUCUUCCGCAAUGGGCGAAAGCCUGACGGAGCAACGCCGCGUGAGUGAUGAAGGUCUUCGGAUCGUAAAACUCUGUUGUUAGGGAAGAACAAAUUUGUUAGUAACUGAACAAGUCUUGACGGUACCUAACCAGAAAGCCACGGCUAACUACGUGCCAGCCGCCGCCGUAA